GCGACCCCAGGUCAUGCGGGACUACCCGCUGAGUUUAAGCAUAUCAAUAAGCGGAGGA
This 58-nucleotide ribosomal RNA is filed under the name Senecio massaicus. RNAcentral describes it as "partial 25S ribosomal RNA". The record is from RNAcentral. Lineage: Eukaryota; Viridiplantae; Streptophyta; Magnoliopsida; Asterales; Asteraceae.